UGGCAGUCUCGUUGUCACAUAGCAUAAUAAAAUAACGGGAGCCUAAGUUGUUAGAAUUAUUUGUUUUGGUUUAAUGGGCUAAGCCUUACGGUGUGAAAUUCCAUUUUCGUCAAGAACAACUCGGGGAUUAAUCAUCGAAAUGCGUUCCCCCUUCUCAUUUCUAUGUUCGCUUGCUCUGGAAAAAUUUAAUGGAGGAGGCGUAGAUGCACGAGCUUUGGGUUUUUCUUUUCUUGAGGCACUAUCAUUGCUGGAAUUAGAAAGCAGGUAAGAAGAUUUCUCAGGAUAAGCUCCAACUGGCGCGACCGAAGAGGGAAGGGAGUGAGCAUAAGGUUCAAGCAAACUAGGGGAGUGAGAUGCACGAGUAUUAGCAGGUACAAAAGGAUACCUUGUUGAACCACUGCUUGCAAUACCAUGACGAGUGUCUUCAUGAGAAAGUUGGGGGGAAGAUCGAACAGGAUAGGAAGAGUAACCAGCUUGGUAUGCUGAAGCGGAUGAAGGAACUUCAGAAGCUAAAGUGUAAGGAGGCCUUCUGUAUACUUCUUCUUCAACAUAACGAGAACUUCCAACAACCACUGGGUCCGCAAGCCGUCUAGGGGGAGGACUAAGUGUGCGUCGCUUGGGAGGAGGUUGUAUGCCAUGCAAACGAGAACGGCUAUCAUAGUAAGCAGAGGAUUCCGAACCUGCAUGAUAAUAAUGUGGAGCAUCAGUUGAAUAAGAAGAGUAAGGAGGCUGACUUUCUGGAUAAGAUCCCGAAGUGUGAUAAAGCAUAGACUCACGACGAAGGGAUCGAAAAUAAGGCCAUUCGUAGGAGUGACCAUAGUCAGUGCAAUGCCUGCUAAAAUCAUAUUUACCAUGUUUAAUUAAGCGGGGAUCAUCUACCAUCAAUCUUCUACCGAUAGGAGCGUCAUGUGACUCUGGUGCAGGUCUUUUCAGAGGUGAAGAAAAGUUGUUUGAACCUGAAGUAGAUAGAACACUUGACGCAACAGGCUCUCCGGUAUGAGUAGUCCAUACGCUUCUAGUAUCGCCCGAUUCGUUCAAUGACGGUGGAGCUAUAUAAGGUGGUUAGUAAAAUUCUCGACAAAAUUAAACAGUAGGAGGUUUUAGGCGAAAAGUCAGUCAAUUUUCAAUGACACUAUUUUACAUUCCUCUCUGAUAUUUUAAACAAUAAUCUACUUACGCCACAGGCUUCGCAGAGCUUCCAAAUUUGGAAGUUCCGGAAUGGACUUUGAUGACCUAGAAGUAGAGAAGUUUGUGUUUGACAUUCAAAUUUCUUUUAUGUGUGAUAAAAAGUAUAAUCUUUUUUUUUUGAAAUCCUCUUUAAAAUGCUAAAAAUUUGUAAAUUGAGUAACGGAAAAUGAGUUGAAGCCAGAAGAUUGUGAUAAAUAUUAAAUUAAGUUAAUAAAUAUUCACCAAAAUCCCUUGCUUUAUAUUUUUUUUACAAAAAAAAAUAAAGAGAGAACCAAAAAAACCCCCCAAAAAACAAAAUUGCUGGUCAAUACACUAACUGAAUUUAUAUCAACCACUAU
Molecule: non-coding RNA, 1526 nt
Organism: Schizosaccharomyces pombe (fission yeast)
Lineage: Eukaryota; Fungi; Ascomycota; Schizosaccharomycetes; Schizosaccharomycetales; Schizosaccharomycetaceae
Source: the annotation of a GenBank genome assembly